RNAcentral lists this unclassified non-coding RNA (304 nucleotides) under uncultured Pleosporales. Its description in RNAcentral is "partial contains 5.8S ribosomal RNA, internal transcribed spacer 2, and large subunit ribosomal RNA". The stretch from base 1 to 102 matches the Rfam family "5.8S ribosomal RNA", at positions 53 to 154 of the family's 154-position model. Lineage: Eukaryota; Fungi; Ascomycota; Dothideomycetes; Pleosporales. The record is from RNAcentral.
AUGCGAUAAGUAGUGUGAAUUGCAGAAUUCAGUGAAUCAUCGAAUCUUUGAACGCACAUUGCGCCCCUUGGUAUUCCAUGGGGCAUGCCUGUUCGAGCGUCAUUUACACCCUCAAGCUUUGCUUGGUGUUGGGCGUCUGUCUAUGGACUCGCCCCAAAGGUAUUGGCAGCGGUCCUGCCGGGCCUUCCUAAUUGCGCAGCACUGUUCGCGCUACUUGGAGCCUGUUUUGCAGGAUUCAGCAUCCAUCAAGCCCUCUUUUUUUUAACUUGACCUCGAAUCAGGUAGGGAUACCCGCUGAACUUAA